This 443-nucleotide ribosomal RNA is filed under the name uncultured bacterium. RNAcentral's name for it is "partial 16S ribosomal RNA". It matches the Rfam family "Bacterial small subunit ribosomal RNA", at positions 338 to 795 of the family's 1533-position model. The record is from RNAcentral.
CCUACGGGGGGCAGCAGUGGGGAAUAUUGGGCAAUGGAGGAAACGCUGACCCAGCAACGCCGCGUGAAUGAUGGAGGUCUUCGGAUUGUAAAGUUCUUUUCUAAGGGAGGAAGAAAGUGACGGUACCUUAGGAAUAAGCCUCGGCUAACUACGUGCCAGCAGCCGCGGUAAUACGUAGGAGGCAAGCGUUAUCCGGAAUGACUGGGCGUAAGGGGUGCGUAGGUGUGUGGUUAAGUUGGGAGUGAAACUCCGAGGGUAACGCUCGGCACUACUACCAAAACUGUCGGACGUGAGUGCAGGAGGGGCGACUGGAAUGUCUAGUGUAGCGGUGGAAUGCGUAGAUAUUAGGAGGAACACCAGUGGCGAAGGCGAGUUGCUGGACUGUAACUGACACUGAGGCACGAAAGCGUGGGGAGCAAACAGGAUUAGAUACCCCAGUAGUC